This is a long non-coding RNA of Chelonia mydas (Green sea turtle), 2449 nucleotides long. RefSeq lists it as uncharacterized. The record is from RefSeq and is a predicted model, not a curated record. The transcript is spliced from 11 exons. Lineage: Eukaryota; Metazoa; Chordata; Testudines; Cheloniidae.
GUUUCUGACAGAGAAACAGAACAUUCAGUCCUUCUAUUCCUUCAGUUAAGGUAUGAAACUCUAUAAUGCACAUCUGUGAGACCCCUUCAGUUUACCAGAAAAUCUAGGGAAGCCUAAACUUGACAUUCCUAAGGUUAAGCGUUGACUGAGCUCGCAGCAGUAGGCCUCCCCUUCCUCAGAUGAAAGGACAAAUCAGAAGGUACCUAUUACAUGUCUGGGAGGAAAGAAACAAAGGCCCAUGACGCUGAUACCACUCCACUCACUUGGAUUUUAAUGGUGCUGAUGUACUCUUGUUCUGUUCCUCCUCAUCUUUCAGACUUCAGUAGGUCUAUGAAGUCUGGGCUCAGCCAGGAAAACAAACAGUGUGUUGCUUAGUGGAAAAUGACCAGCGCAAACUGCUUGUGAAGCUUCCCAGCCAAGAACUCUGUGUACCCUCCAUUUCUACAGGUGUGGAAAUGCUGUGCAGAUGAGAUCUAUUUCUCUCUGACAGUUAACACACAAACUCUGAAAGAUUUUGUUGCUGGGCACUGAACCCUUUCAUCAAACAGUAUAGAUGCCUAGACAGAGAAGAUUUCAAAGAACAAAUGCUUGUGUUUGGGAAUUUGGAUGAAUCUCAAGCUUGUGGUUCUGCAACAAGGGCAUAGGAAUAGCCAACCCAGAAAAGGCUAUGCUUAGUUUCACAAUAGCAAACAACAAAAACUAGCCGAUGCAAGUGAUCAACGUGCAAUUUGGGAUAAAACUCCAACCAGCAGAGGAAAAAACAGGAAAGAUAUUCCCCUUGAAAGAGAUUGCUAGUGGUGUCUGAGAUUCCCAAAUUAAGUCUCUGGUGGUGAAGAUAUGAGAAAGGUGAAGUAAACAAAAUUUAAAGGUCCAUUAGAAGAAGAAAUAUAAUAGACAGGAACACUAACAGACAUGCAUAAGUGCAUAACAUAUAUAUUUAUUGCAUCAGAUUCAAGUAUAAUAUCUAAUACGGCACAGAAUACAGUAUAUAAAAUGUAUGUAUUUUUAGCCUUUUUAUAGCUUUUUCCUCUUACCUUCCAGAGUCAGUUGAUUUUCAGACCCUUAUCUCACACAAGGAGAUGAAAUGUUGCCUCUUGCCACUUGAUCUAAGCACUUACCGUCGUUCCGUUCCAGUGGAUGUGUUUAUAUCACAACAGCUGGCACUCAUUGGCAUCCUUGGAUCUCAGCAGAUCAUCCAAGGAUUGAAAGGGCCGAGGUGCCUGACCAUUCUUUCAUCCUUAGUAGUGGUCCCUCCAGGACAGGAUUGAGACAUCUUGGUGGGGCAGAAUAGGGAAGCUUGUACUGCUGUUAGCUACCCAUGCAGCAUCUGCUCUGUGGAUAGAAAACAUCAGACUCUAGACAGCUUCUCAUGAGGUAUCUGGAACCCAACACACACAAGAAAAAGGAAAACUGCCCUGCAAGUGCACUGUCCUUGCUACUACUUACUCUACAGCUAACUUGAAUGCAAGAAUUUCAUUGGUGACUGCACGGAUGUGUUUUUCCUUCGACAACCCUGACAAGAUGAUGACAAGAAUCGUGCCAACUCAUAGUCCAGCAAUAUAUUCCCUGCCAACAUCACUACUAUGCUUGCUGUUAUAUUCAAAGAAGAUAGUACGUGCUUUUCUCUGAACUGAGUUUCAUCUACAGAAAUUAACCAGAAGGUGUCGGGUGCAGCUGCUGCGUAACCACCCACCAAAGGAUUUAUCAAGUCAGCUGGAGGUAACGCCCUCUCUGUCUCUGGCAGGUAGUUGAUCCUGCACAGUACAUCAGUUCAGUUCUGGGAGUGGGACUGUGCUGGUUUUGUGAUGUAAAUCACUGGACGCUGAACUGGAAGCACAUUGCACUUUGGACCUUUGGGCAUCCACAGAUGUAUAGUCUCUCGGGAGUCAUCUGGCUGCAUGUGAUUUUAUACAUCUGUCAGCUUCAUCAAGUAUCCUAAUGCAAAAUCCAGCAUUCAGCGACAUUAUGUGGCUUUGUGAUGCUCCCUGGGAGACUUCAGAUCCAUAAACCAGUGAAUGGAUUACAAUGAGAUAUAAAUACAGUAUUUUCAUGGAUGGCCUAGAAUCCAGCUCUAUUAUUAUUCUUUUUAUGUAAAGAGAAACUGGUACCCAUUUUUCUCUACCCAGAACUCUGAAUCUUUUGCAUCAGAAUCUACUGCUGUGAACAACCACACCAAUCAAAUUUGCAACAACGUUCAGGAGUAAACUCCUGCGUCUCUUCCCUCUCCUCUCUCCCUCACAGUAUGAAUAAACCAAGGCAUGGAAAGGUUGAGUAACUGGCCAAAGUCUCACAGAAGACCAAUGACAACCCAAAUAGGACUCAAUCCCCAGCUCUAAGGCCUGGUCUACACUACGAGUUUGUCGGAUUUAGCAGCGUUAAAUCGAAUUAACCCUGCACCUGUCCACACAACGAAGCCAUUUUUUUUGACAUAAAGCGCUCUUAAAACCGA